Molecule: ribosomal RNA, 253 nt
Filed under: uncultured bacterium
Lineage: Bacteria
Description: partial 16S ribosomal RNA
Rfam family: Bacterial small subunit ribosomal RNA
Source: RNAcentral
UACGAAGGGGGCUAGCGUUGUUCGGAAUUACUGGGCGUAAAGCGUGCGCAGGCGGCUUCUCAAGUCAGGGGUGAAAGCCCAGAGCUCAACUCUGGAAUUGCCUUUGAGACUGAGUGGCUUGAGUACGAGAGAGGUGAGUGGAAUUCCCAGUGUAGAGGUGAAAUUCGUAGAUAUUAGGAAGAACACCAGUGGCGAAGGCGGCUCACUGGCCCGGUACUGACGCUGAGGCACGAAAGCGUGGGGAGCAAACAGG